UAUGUAUGUGUGUAUAUAUAUAUAUAUAUAUAUAUAUAUAUAUAUAUAUUUGAUUUAGAUGUUAAAGGACAUUUGUCUUAUAUAAGUUAAAAUGUAGCUACUUACUCACAGCUUAGAGCCCCAUCCUCAGGAAUUUGAGAGUAAUUGACUCUCUCUCUCUUCUAAAGAAGAUUUGAAUUUGGCGCGCUUUUUGUAGAACAAGUCAAAAAUGAACCGUUACAUGACGCAUUUUUAGAAAGGUGGGAGUAGGCUAUAUAUAUAUAUUAGGAGCAGAAAUUGGGGGCUCUCUUCUCUUGAAUGCUGCACACACUCAAGCUCACACACUUGGAAAUGAGCUGACAUGCUAGAACACACUCAAGCUCUCACACUUAGAAGAAGGCUGACAUAGCCACACACACACACAAAGAUAUAUAUUUGCAACUUUCAUUUCAAGAUUAAGAAACUUAUUGAUGCUAUUUUUAUAUUCUACAAUUGAUGAUAUUCAUGUGAUAUUUUACUAUUUUAUCAUUAAAUACAUUUUGGAGUUUUUACACAAGAACGGAACGGAUUUUCUUGGAACUUUUCUCAUCAAUAUGAAUAUCGAUUAUUAAUAUAAUAAUACCGAUAUACUGACUUUAUUUCAAUGGCGAGCCUUAGCCAGAAUCGAUUUGCUUGAAUAUCGAACGUUUUUGAAUUAUUUCUCCUAUCGCUUGUCGAGAGGGAAAACAAGCAUUGAUCAUGCAGACAAGCUUCAAGGAGAAAUAAAAACGAAAGAACUUUCAGCAUCAUCGAAUGGAUCUGGAAACAUAGAAUUAUUUGGUGAAGAAGUUUACAUACGUAAGAAAAUCCUGUUUCUUGAUGACGUAAUUUCCCGUAAAGAGAGGGAAAGCGUGAAAGAAGUCGUCCUAAAUUGGAUCUGACUUAUGAGUCACCAAAAGAAGAGAAAUGUCAUAUUUCUAAGAUCUUCCAGAUGCAAACAAGCCCUUUGAAACUUAAGAAAAUAGUUCUGGGAGAAGAUGACAUAUGAGAUUCAUUUGUCAUAAUUAUUGUUGUCUUUUUAUGUUCAAUAAAGUUUUUCAACUUUACAGUACAGGAGUACAAGAGGAAGAAAAAGAAAGAAGAAUCAAUACCUCUAAUGAGAGGGAAAUUUCUAAAAACAAUUGACUUUUUAUUUUUGACGACUGAUGAUAUAAUUUUAUCCAUCAGAUAUAUUGUAGUUUUUAUAUAUGAACUUUUUAUGUGACGAGAUAUGUUUUUCAUAUCAAGAAGAGAUAUUUUUUACACACCAAUUUUUAAAAACAAAUGUAGUGUACUUUCAGAGUUGAAAGGGUUAAACUUUUUUACAAUGAAGUCUAGUUAGUAGGAACAUCUGGUGUUAAUUAAGCUAGAGUACAUGUUUCUUAAAAGGUACAUAAACAAGUUAGGAUUAACUUUACCUUGUAAUAUGCAUUUAGUUUUGAAGUCAUUUCACAUAUAUGAACAAAUUGAAGUUAAGAACAUAUUUUAUAUUUACAUUUUGACAAGGUUAUUAGAAAUGUUGUAUGGAUUAUAGUUAAAUAUGCUGAACACAAUUUGGAGGGAAAAAAUGAAACAUAUAUUUCUGAAGUGACAUUCAUACUUCAAAGUAUUGUACAACUAUGUUACAUUCAUGGAUUUAGGAAUAUUAAGGGGGUUGAUUUUAUGGCAAAA
Long non-coding RNA from Rana temporaria (common frog), 1668 nucleotides. RefSeq lists it as uncharacterized. NCBI's taxonomy places the organism in Eukaryota, Metazoa, Chordata, Amphibia, Anura, Ranidae. The record is from RefSeq and is a predicted model, not a curated record. The transcript has 2 exons.